GCUACACAUGCAAGUCGAGGGGUAACAGAGAGAAGCUUGCUUCUUUGCUGACGACCGGCGCACGGGUGCGUAACGCGUAUACAAUCUACCUUUUGCUGAGGGAUAGCCCAGAGAAAUUUGGAUUAAUACCUCAUAGUAUAUAUGAAUCACAUGGUUUAUAUAUUAAAGGUUACGGCAGAAGAUGAGUAUGCGUUCUAUUAGCUAGAUGGUGUGGUAACGGCACACCAUGGCAACGAUAGAUAGGGGCCCUGAGAGGGGGAUCCCCCACACUGGUACUGAGACACGGACCAGACUCCUACGGGAGGCAGCAGUGAGGAAUAUUGGACAAUGGGCGAGAGCCUGAUCCAGCCAUGCCGCGUGCAGGAAGACUGCCCUAUGGGUUGUAAACUGCUUUUAUACAGGAAGAAACACUCCCUCGUGAGGGAGCUUGACGGUACUGUAAGAAUAAGGAUCGGCUAACUCCGUGCCAGCAGCCGCGGUAAUACGGAGGAUCCAAGCGUUAUCCGGAAUCAUUGGGUUUAAAGGGUCCGUAGGUGGAUAAUUAAGUCAGAGGUGAAAGUCUGCAGCUCAACUGUAGAAUUGCCUUUGAUACUGGUUAUCUUGAAUUAUUAUGAAGUAGUUAGAAUAUGUAGUGUAGCGGUGAAAUGCAUAGAUAUUACAUAGAAUACCAAUUGCGAAGGCAGAUUACUAAUAAUAUAUUGACACUGAUGGACGAAAGCGUGGGGAGCGAACAGGAUUAGAUACCCUGGUAGUCCACGCCGUAAACGAUGGAUACUAGCUGCUACACAUGGCUACACAUGGCUACACAUGGUGA
RNAcentral lists this ribosomal RNA (814 nucleotides) under uncultured Flavobacteriaceae bacterium. RNAcentral describes it as "bacterial SSU rRNA". It matches the Rfam family "Bacterial small subunit ribosomal RNA", at positions 48 to 860 of the family's 1533-position model. Lineage: Bacteria; Pseudomonadati; Bacteroidota; Flavobacteriia; Flavobacteriales; Flavobacteriaceae. The record is from RNAcentral.